UUUUUUUUUUAUUUAAUUUUUGGAAUUAUUUUUUGAUCAGAGGCUGGCAAAACUACUAAGUUUGGAAAAGUAAUGUUCAUUCACUUCUCUGGCAGAUUGUCAGUUUCUAAGGGCAGAAAACAAAUAUCCCAUUUGGACAGACACGUCCACAGCUCUCUCCUGUUCACUGAAUUUGCUGGAAUCACAAGUACCUGCACAGCACCCAGAUUUCAGAUUCUGGAUUCCUGAGCAGACAUCCUUGAAAAACUUUUUUCCAACACAGCUGUGUGUAAAAACAGAUCUGUUUGGAUUGAAUUUCAUCAGGGAUAAAAAGGAGUGGUUAAACCUUUUUAGUUAUCAUUCUGUAUGGUUGAUUGGAAUCCACUUUUCAUUGCAGGUAUAUUUUAUUGUAGUAAUUCACUUUUAGAAGUAAAUAAAUUGAAAAGGUAUUAUUUAUAGCUUAUAUUA
Molecule: long non-coding RNA, 447 nt
Filed under: Cyanistes caeruleus (blue tit)
Lineage: Eukaryota; Metazoa; Chordata; Aves; Passeriformes; Paridae
Description: lncRNA (ENSCCEG00000020019.1)
Source: RNAcentral